RNAcentral lists this ribosomal RNA (492 nucleotides) under uncultured bacterium. Its description in RNAcentral is "partial 16S ribosomal RNA". It matches the Rfam family "Bacterial small subunit ribosomal RNA", at positions 29 to 507 of the family's 1533-position model. The record is from RNAcentral.
AGUGAACGCUGGCGGUAGGCCUAACACAUGCAAGUCGAACGGCAGCACAGUAAGAGCUUGCUCUUACGGGUGGCGAGUGGCGGACGGGUGAGGAAUACAUCGGAAUCUACUUUUUCGUGGGGGAUAACGUAGGGAAACUUACGCUAAUACCGCAUACGACCUACGGGUGAAAGCAGGGGAUAUUCGCACCUUGCGCGAUUGAAUGAGCCGAUGUCGGAUUAGCUAGUUGGCGGGGUAAAGGCCCACCAAGGCGACGAUCCGUAGCCGAUCUGAGAGGAUGAUCAGCCACACUGGAACUGAGACACGGUCCAGACUCCUACGGGAGGCAGCAGUAGGGAAUAUUGGACAAUGGGCGAAAGCCUGAUCCAGCCAUACCGCGUGAGUGAAGAAGGCCUUCGGGUUGUAAAGCCCUUUUGUUGGGAAAGAAAAGCAGCAGGUUAAUACCCCGCUGUUCUGACGGUACCCAAAGAAUAAGCACCGGCUAACUUCGUG